RNAcentral lists this ribosomal RNA (253 nucleotides) under uncultured bacterium. RNAcentral's name for it is "partial 16S ribosomal RNA". It matches the Rfam family "Bacterial small subunit ribosomal RNA", at positions 524 to 776 of the family's 1533-position model. The record is from RNAcentral.
UACGGAGGGUGCAAGCGUUGUCCGGAUUUAUUGGGUUUAAAGGGUGCGUAGGCGGCUCUUUAAGUCAGUGGUGAAAGACUCCGGCUCAACCGGAGCAGUGCCAUUGAUACUGGGGAGCUUGAGUGUUGGAGGGGUACAUGGAAUUGAUGGUGUAGCGGUGAAAUGCAUAGAUACCAUCAGGAACACCGAUAGCGAAGGCAUUGUACUGGCCAACAACUGACGCUGAGGCACGAAAGCAUGGGUAGCGAACAGG